ACAAACUUGGUCAUUUAGAGGAAGUAAAAGUCGUAACAAGGUUUCCGUAGGUGAACCUGCGGAAGGAUCAUUAAUAUAUCCAACCUUGCACGCGCACGGCCUGCGUAUUGAUCCCUUACCUCCCGAGGUUUGGAGGGGCGCGUGAAAUAUUUGGUCGUGCGUGUUCGCUUAUCACCCUUUGUGAAACCUCUGUAUUUGCUUCGGCAGCGCCGUACGGGUGACCGUUCGGGUAAGGCUGCCAGAGGCUCAUCGCAAAACCUGUUGAUGAAAUAUCAUGCUGUCUGAUACCAUACUGUUUUUGAGAAAUCAAAUCGCAUUAAAACUUUCAGCAACGGAUCUCUUGGUUCCCGCAUCGAUGAAGAACGCAGC
This 369-nucleotide unclassified non-coding RNA is filed under the name uncultured fungus. RNAcentral's name for it is "partial contains small subunit ribosomal RNA, internal transcribed spacer 1, and 5.8S ribosomal RNA". The stretch from base 1 to 73 matches the Rfam family "Eukaryotic small subunit ribosomal RNA", at positions 1759 to 1831 of the family's 1831-position model. Lineage: Eukaryota; Fungi. The record is from RNAcentral.